RNAcentral lists this ribosomal RNA (495 nucleotides) under uncultured bacterium. RNAcentral's name for it is "bacterial SSU rRNA". It matches the Rfam family "Bacterial small subunit ribosomal RNA", at positions 26 to 518 of the family's 1533-position model. The record is from RNAcentral.
CGAGGACGAACGCUGGCGGCGUGCCUAACACAUGCAAGUCGAGCGGAGUUGACAAGAGGAAGUUUCGGAUGGAAUUUGUUAAUUAGCGGCGGACGGGUGAGUAACGCGUGAGCGACCAACCUUGCACAGGGGGAUAACGGACCGAAAGGUUCACUAAUACCGCAUGAGACCACGGUGUUGCAUGACACAGGGGUCAAAGGAGCAAUCCGGUGCAAGACGGGCUCGCGUCCGAUUAGGUAGUUGGAGGGUAACGGCCCACCAAGCCUAUGAUCGGUAGCCGACCUGAGAGGGUGAUCGGCCACAUUGGAACUGAGAUACGGUCCAAACUCCUACGGGAGGCAGCAGUGGGGAAUAUUGGGCAAAAUGGGGGAAACCCUGACCCAGCAACGCCGCGUGAAGGAAGAAGGUUUUCGGAUUGUAAACUUCUGUCCUUGGUGAAGAGAAGAAGACGGUAGCCAAGGAGGAAGCCCCGGCUAACUACGUGCCAGCAGCCGC